This 75-nucleotide transfer RNA is filed under the name compost metagenome. RNAcentral describes it as "tRNA-Met". It matches the Rfam family "tRNA". From Rfam's summary of the family: Transfer RNA (tRNA) molecules are approximately 80 nucleotides in length. Their secondary structure includes four short double-helical elements and three loops (D, anti-codon, and T loops). The record is from RNAcentral.
GGCUACAUAGCUCAGUCGGUUAGAGCGCAGCAUUCAUAAUGCUGAUGUCCCAGGUUCAAGUCCCGGUGUAGCCAC